Pelobates cultripes (western spadefoot toad) is the source of this 281-nucleotide non-coding RNA. The record is from the annotation of a GenBank genome assembly. NCBI's taxonomy places the organism in Eukaryota, Metazoa, Chordata, Amphibia, Anura, Pelobatidae.
UUUGUCUUUACUUUUGACAGUUGAAAUAGAACCUCUUCCUCUGUAAACUCACAUGUUACAAAUUACUAAUUUGUCCUUUUUCCUAACUGAGGCUCCUUUCCUUCAUUUUCAUCUGUAAAUACAGAACAAAAAUAUUAAUUGAGGCAGUCAGCUAGACCUUUAUCCUCUUCUACAUACCUUCCUUCUUUUGUUUUUAAUCUAACUAAUCCUUGUUUUACUUUCCUUUUCUCAUUUAUGUAUCUUAAAAAAUGUUUUUACUGACUGUGCUAUUUUCUUUUCUG